This is a long non-coding RNA of Rosa chinensis, 667 nucleotides long. RefSeq lists it as uncharacterized. The transcript has 2 exons. The record is from RefSeq and is a predicted model, not a curated record. NCBI's taxonomy places the organism in Eukaryota, Viridiplantae, Streptophyta, Magnoliopsida, Rosales, Rosaceae.
UCUUUUAGCUUGGUAAAACUAACAAAUGACCAUGGACUGGACAAAUGGGGUGGGACUACUUAUCUCAUUAGGCAAUUGCUUCAUCCCUCAAAUGCUAAAUCUUCUUCUUGAUCCUCCUCCUGCUAGGAUGUUCUGAGAUUUGCAUAUUUUGUGUGUUAAGCAGUCUUGUUUCAUUAUGUUCAUCAACGACGUAGUUGUGUUUGUCGGCUGCCUAACCAAUGGAUUUUCAUUCUUGAAUUAGGUAUCUAGCGAACACUUGUAUGGUCCGUUGAUGUCGUUGUCUUCCUUCUAAUUUUCUGAUUCUUGAUGAAUGCAGAUCCAUCCCUUCCAUUCCUGAGCUGACUUCAAACACCAUCCAUUUCAUUUGAUCACCUUUUGUAAUAGAGCAGCAAAGACGUUCUACACUCAUCACACAUACAUUAUGUUUCCCUCCUGUCUAGUUUUCUCUUGCUUGCAUUCCUCUUGAAAUUGGGGUGCAGUCAAUGCUUGCAUCUCUCUGUUUGAGCACAUUAACAAACGCAUAGUUUAAUGGCAGUUUACUCUGCAUGUAACAGUGGUUAUUUAAUGGAAAAAUGUGGUCUAGGCAUAGUUCUUGGUGCUUGGAGUCUUUAUUCUUAUGUUUUUGUGGGUCAAGACCUUUGAAUAAUAAUCAAGAUCUCUUCCAUCA